RNAcentral lists this ribosomal RNA (64 nucleotides) under Menyanthes trifoliata. Its description in RNAcentral is "partial 28S ribosomal RNA". Lineage: Eukaryota; Viridiplantae; Streptophyta; Magnoliopsida; Asterales; Menyanthaceae. The record is from RNAcentral.
CCCCAGGUCAGGCGGGACUACCCGCUGAGUUUAAGCAUAUCAAUGAGCGGAGGAAAAAAUCACU